This is a long non-coding RNA of Perca fluviatilis (European perch), 364 nucleotides long. RefSeq lists it as uncharacterized. The transcript has 2 exons. The record is from RefSeq and is a predicted model, not a curated record. Lineage: Eukaryota; Metazoa; Chordata; Actinopteri; Perciformes; Percidae.
AAACUGGACUACAUCCAACUUCAACGAAACUCCCAACAGUUCCCUCAGCCAACAAAGCCCUCCGUAGCGUCUGUUUACUUCUCUGCAUGAGCAGAAUGGAAGACCUCCCCAUCUGCGUCAUGGCUUCUGUUCACAACUCACUUGUCUUUAAGUAUAUGUUGUUUUAAUUUUUGUGUGCUGAUGUUAUACGCGUAUGGAAAUGCUGUUAAAACCUUCUGUAUGCUGGAUUCCAGUGAUCAUGGAGAAUGUGUCAAAGUCUUCAAAUUAAAAUAAUAGUCUUAAGUUUUUUUACUGUUUAUAUUCUUUUUGCUGUCUGUAUUUCAGUUAUGAAGUGUAGUCUUUAAUAAACAGCUUUUCCAUCCCA